This 71-nucleotide transfer RNA is filed under the name bacterium. Its description in RNAcentral is "tRNA-His". It matches the Rfam family "tRNA". From Rfam's summary of the family: Transfer RNA (tRNA) molecules are approximately 80 nucleotides in length. Their secondary structure includes four short double-helical elements and three loops (D, anti-codon, and T loops). The record is from RNAcentral.
GUGCUUAUGGUGUAGUGGUAACACAGCUCCCUGUGGAGGAGCUAUCUCGGGUUCGAAUCCCGAUAAGCACC